This 772-nucleotide ribosomal RNA is filed under the name uncultured Inocybe. Its description in RNAcentral is "partial 28S ribosomal RNA". It matches the Rfam family "Eukaryotic large subunit ribosomal RNA", at positions 216 to 962 of the family's 3401-position model. Lineage: Eukaryota; Fungi; Basidiomycota; Agaricomycetes; Agaricales; Cortinariaceae. The record is from RNAcentral.
GAAUCCCGUCUUUGACAUGGACUGCCUGCGCAUUAUGGUGUGCUCUCGAAGAGUCGAGUUGUUUGGGAAUGCAGCUCAAAAUGGGUGGUAAAUGCCAUCUAAAGCUAAAUAUUGGCGAGAGACCGAUAGCGAACAAGUACCGUGAGGGAAAGAUGAAAAGAACUUUGGAAAGAGAGUUAAACAGUACGUGAAAUUGCUGAAAGGGAAACGCUUGAAGUCAGUCGCAUCGGCCAGAAAUCAGCCUUGCUUUUGCUUGGUGUACUUUCUGGUUUCCUGAUGGGUCAGCAUCAAUUUUGACCAUUGGAUAAAGUCUUUGGGAAUGUAGCAUCCUCGGAUGUGUUAUAGCCCAUUGUCGUAUACGAUGGUUGGGAUUGAGGAACUCAGCACGCUCUGUAACAGGGGCCAGGUCUUUUUUGAUCAUGUCCGUGCUUAGGAUGCUGGCAUAAUGGCUUUAAUCGACCCGUCUUGAAACACGGACCAAGGAGUCUAACAUGCCUGCGAGUGUUUGGGUGGAAAACCCAUGCGCGUAAUGAAAGUGAAAGGUUGAGAUCUCUGUAAAGGAGAGCAUUGACGCCCGGACCAGAGCUUCUGUGACGGAUCCGCGGUAGAGCAUGUAUGUUGGGACCCGAAAGAUGGUGAACUAUGCCUGAAUAGGGUGAAGCCAGAGGAAACUCUGGUGGAGGCUCGUAGCGAUUCUGACGUGCAAAUCGAUCGUCAAAUUUGGGUAUAGGGGCGAAAGACUAAUCGAACCAUCUAGUAGCUGGUUCCUGCC